UACGGAGGAUGCGAGCGUUAUCCGGAUUUAUUGGGUUUAAAGGGUGCGUAGGCGGCAUGUUAAGUUAGUGGUAAAAUGUCGGAGCUAAACUCCGGAUCGCCAUUAAUACUGUCAUGCUCGAGUACAGACGAGGUAGGCGGAAUAAGUUAAGUAGCGGUGAAAUGCAUAGAUAUAACUUAGAACUCCGAUCGCGAAGGCAGCUUACGAGACUGUAACUGACGCUGAAGCACGAGAGCGUGGGUAGCAAACAGGAUUAGAUACCCUGGUAGUCCU
Molecule: ribosomal RNA, 273 nt
Filed under: uncultured bacterium
Lineage: Bacteria
Description: partial 16S ribosomal RNA
Rfam family: Bacterial small subunit ribosomal RNA
Source: RNAcentral